Heterocephalus glaber (naked mole-rat) is the source of this 2833-nucleotide non-coding RNA. The record is from RefSeq and is a predicted model, not a curated record. Lineage: Eukaryota; Metazoa; Chordata; Mammalia; Rodentia; Bathyergidae.
ACUUCCGCGUUCACCUACUUAGGUCCGGAUUUCCUGCCCAGUGCCACACCUACAGGUGUGGAAGGAAGCUGCAUUACUUUAGUUGUGAGAGUGCUGCGAAUGUGAAACUGUCUGACUUGCAGACAUCUUCCAAGAGCAUUCGUGUACAUUCAGUAUUUUGCUCUUCCAAACAAACUUUGGAAAGAGAAGAGGCGAAAUUCACUGGGACGCCUCUGGCGCUUCUUUUCCGUCUCAGACUGAGAUAAGGCAAGUGGCACAAGCAGUGUUCGCUUAAUUAACGAACCCAUUAAGCAGCCAGAAAAUGACAUAAGCCAUUCUGUGGCCCGUAUGCCCAGCCUCUGGACUCUCCUGACCAUACAUGUCAUACUCCAGCUUCAGAGUCAAGACGGGUUUAGAAUAAUAGUGCUCUUCCAAACAACUUGCUCAGUGUGACUUCCCUCUCACUCCUGCACAUCAGGCCAUGGAGUUCCAUGUUCAGAACACAGCCCAAAGAAAUGGGCAACAAGGUGACCCUGCAGACAGUGCCACAGGCAUGGACAUCUCUUCUCUCUUCCAUCUCGUUCCCUGUUGCACUCAGGGACAACUGGGAUGGCUGUGUUGAUCUUCACUCCCAAGGAGGUAAGGGCACACUAGGAGACAGACUGCCAGAUGUUCUCAAAUAGGGCAAUGGUCUUUGGGCAGAUAACCCCUAAAUUGUUACCCCUCAUUGUGGAAAAAGUAUAUAUUUUUUUCUAUCUUACAAGAUUACAGAAUGUCCAAAAGAAGAUAUUAUAAAAAGAUCUUCUUAAUUUUAAAACUAUAAGGGGCUGGGAAUAUAGCUCAGUGGUACAGCACUUGCCUAGCAUGUGUGAGUCCCUGGGUUUCAUCCCCAGUACCAAAAAAUCCAAACCAAGCCAAUAUAGAAUAAUUCAGUAAUAAGGAAGCUAUUUACAUAUGUAGAAAUUGUCAAGUGGCAAUGGAUGCUUUUAUAACAGAUUUAAAAGACAGAAAAUGACUUACCUUCCCUCUCUCCAUUUCAUAAAUAUGUCCUACUAUGUAAACUACAGAGUAUAUAUGAGUAAACAAGACAGAUGAAAUCCCUGCCAUUAAGCAGGUUACCUAUUAGAUUAAAAAUUCUAAUAAAUAUCCAUUCUCUCAGGUGCUAAAAGUUCUCUGUAGAAAUUCAAAGCAGGGAAAGGGGAGAUGGAAACCAAGGGAGAAGAGAAGCAAUGGUUAAGAUCAGGUGGCUUGGGUCGGGCUGGGUGAUAAGGUGACCUCUGAGCAAAGGCCUGAAGAAAAUGAAAUAGCAGGAUAUAGCUAUCUAGAGAAGAAUGUUCCAGGCAGAGCUAAGAGUAGGGACAAAGAUCCUAAGGUAGAAGGAACAUCAAGGGACCCGGAGUGGCAGGGGCCUUGAGGUGUAGGCAGAUCCUGCCAGAUCUUGGAGGUGAUACUGUGUCCUUGAUAAUUCUAUUCCGAAUGAGAUGCAAAGUGCUCAUGAGGUGGAAGACAAAGCAGAGAUACUCUCUAGAAUGAUUUAAUAUGACUUAUGCUUAAAAAAAAACUUUUAUUAAUAUCCAAGAGACAUAAAGAACUGCAUUAAUCACGUGGUAUAACUUUUUCACCCCAAAUUCCAUGCAGUAUAAUUUAUUUUAUAGCAUACAUUGAUAGUUUUAUACAAAAUAAUCUGUAUAAUAGUUCUCUUAAUGAGGGGAAUGCUCAUUUUAGUCUUUUUUAAUCUUUAAAGUACCUGUGGGACAGAUGACUGCCCCAGGGAUUAUUUCCUAUCAGUAGAACAACAGUAACUACAUGUAAUAAAAUUAACAACAAAACAAGUGUUCAUAUAAUAAAAUUAAAAGAAAAGCUUCUAAUUACAGGUGUGUGUGUGUAAUUACAGGAGUGUAUGUGUGUAGGGGGGGAUCCCAUGUGCCUCUGGACUAUUAUUUACUGGAACUAAGAGCUGCCUUUGACUGCAGAGUAUAUUCCAAGGCACAGUUCUUCCCUCAAAGGCCUAAAAUCCAAUUGGCCUGUGACAGUGAACUCUAACAUCAAAGAAAGAAGAAGGAGGAAAAGGAAGAAAUAUCUCCAAACAAGGUGACUGACAUUGGUCAGAGAUAUGACUUUGAUCCUCUGUUGUAGCUGAGAUUGACAAUGAGAUGAACGUCAGAACCUUGUGAGAGACUGGAGGAAGGCAAAGACCUUCCCACCAGGAGGUAGUGGCAGAAAGGCCGUAACUGUGACAAGCAAACAUUGGCAUGGCAGAUGGUAAUAAGCCAGGCUCAGCUAAGAGGGUAGGAAGGAUCCCAAAGGGGAAAAGUAAGUUUUUCCAUGACAUUUUAAAUCUUCACCUUCUCCCUGGCUCUUUUUGACUCCUGAGACUUGGAACACACUGAGAAGAAAUCUUACCAAGUAAAUGAUUGUGGCCUUUGACCCCAGAACACCAGGGCCUUAUCUGCAAAGAGACUAAAUAGCAGGUGCCUGGCACAGAGUAGAUACUCAAAGGUUCAUUUUCUUCCCCUGGCUUACAUUCAGUUUUGAAAUAGAAGUUAUUUUCUUGUUCCUUUUGACCUUUGAAACAAUUACUGCUGGACUGGAAGGUGCUAAACUGGGACAAAAUACUAUAAUCUUCCCUGAAAGCAAGAGGUCAAGAAGAGGACAGCCUUACCUGACAUAGAGAGAUAUGGGCACCAUGGUGUUCAGAACGAUGAGAUAGCCCCAGAAAUUCAGGAAUCCGCGGUAGGAGGGAGUGGCAUUUUUUCCAUCAUAGAGAUACCAAGAGUAAUUGCCAACUUGUGCUUCCCAAUAUGCAUGGCCAAUGGCAAGCCCAGCAGAAAGCAGGAUGAGAACAACAAAGAUC